RNAcentral lists this ribosomal RNA (253 nucleotides) under uncultured bacterium. Its description in RNAcentral is "partial 16S ribosomal RNA". It matches the Rfam family "Bacterial small subunit ribosomal RNA", at positions 524 to 776 of the family's 1533-position model. The record is from RNAcentral.
UACGGAGGGCGCAAGCGUUGCUCGGAAUUACUGGGCGUAAAGCGCGUGUAGGCGGUCGACCGUGUCGGAUGUGAAAGCCCCCGGCUCAACCGGGGAAGUGCAUCCGAAACUAGUCGACUAGAGGUUGGUAGAGGGUAGGGGAAUUCCCGGUGUAGAGGUGAAAUUCGUAGAUAUCGGGAGGAACACCGGUGGCGAAGGCGCCUGCCUGGGCCAAAUCUGACGCUGAGACGCGAAAGCGUGGGGAGCAAACAGG